UACGAAGGGGGCUAGCGUUGUUCGGAAUUACUGGGCGUAAAGCGCACGUAGGCGGGUUGUUAAGUCAGGGGUGAAAUCCCGGAGCUCAACUCCGGAACUGCCUUUGAUACUGGCAACCUAGAGGCCGGAAGAGGUUAGUGGAAUUCCCAGUGUAGAGGUGAAAUUCGUAGAUAUUGGGAAGAACACCAGUGGCGAAGGCGGCU
Molecule: ribosomal RNA, 203 nt
Filed under: uncultured bacterium
Lineage: Bacteria
Description: partial 16S ribosomal RNA
Rfam family: Bacterial small subunit ribosomal RNA
Source: RNAcentral